UUUGAAGGUAUAAUCGGUCUGGCCUGCUCACUGACAUAAGUUGUUUAAGAGCCGCGGUAAUUUGACCGUGCAAAGGUAGCAUAAUCAUUAGUUUUUUAAUUGAAAACUUGUAUGAAGGGUCGGACAAAGGAAAAGCUGUCUCUAUUAUAUAAAUUGAAUUUAACUUUUAAGUGAAAAGGCUUAAAUAAUUCAGGGGGACGAUAAGACCCUAUAAAGCUUUACAUAGUGAUUAUACUUGAUUGAAUUGUUAAAAUAAAUUUUUGGUCUGGUUACUAUGUUUUAUUGGGGCGAUAUAAGUAUAAUUUUUAUUAACUGCUUAGGUAAAAUACAAUAAUAGAUGGUAAAGUAGAUGAUCCUUUUUAAAGAUUAAAAGACUAAGUUACUUUAGGGAUAACAGCGUUAUUUUUUUUGAGAGUUCAUAUCGAAAAAAAAGUUUGCGACCUCGAUGUUGAAUUAAAAUGUCUAUAUAGUGCAGAUGCUAUAUAAGAGGGUCUGUUCGACCUUU
This 505-nucleotide ribosomal RNA is filed under the name Eriphia scabricula. Its description in RNAcentral is "partial 16S ribosomal RNA". It matches the Rfam family "Bacterial large subunit ribosomal RNA", at positions 1836 to 2589 of the family's 2925-position model. Lineage: Eukaryota; Metazoa; Arthropoda; Malacostraca; Decapoda; Eriphiidae. The record is from RNAcentral.